This 301-nucleotide ribosomal RNA is filed under the name uncultured bacterium. RNAcentral describes it as "partial 16S ribosomal RNA". It matches the Rfam family "Bacterial small subunit ribosomal RNA", at positions 509 to 807 of the family's 1533-position model. The record is from RNAcentral.
CAGCCGCCGCGGUAAUACGUAGGGUGCAAGCGUUAAUCGGAAUUACUGGGCGUAAAGCGUGCGCAGGCGGUUCGUUAAGACAGAUGUGAAAUCCCCGGGCUUAACCUGGGAACUGCAUUUGUGACUGGCGGGCUAGAGUAUGGCAGAGGGGGGUAGAAUUCCACGUGUAGCAGUGAAAUGCGUAGAGAUGUGGAGGAAUACCGAUGGCGAAGGCAGCCCCCUGGGCCAAUACUGACGCCCAUGCACGAAAGCGUGGGGAGCAAACAGGAUUAGAUACCCCAGUAGUCCCUGUCUCUUAUAC